Molecule: ribosomal RNA, 1331 nt
Filed under: Bacillus sp. (in: firmicutes)
Lineage: Bacteria; Bacillati; Bacillota; Bacilli; Caryophanales; Bacillaceae
Description: bacterial SSU rRNA
Rfam family: Bacterial small subunit ribosomal RNA
Source: RNAcentral
CGGACAGAUGGGAGCUUGCUCCCUGAUGUUAGCGGCGGACGGGUGAGUAACACGUGGGUAACCUGCCUGUAAGACUGGGAUAACUCCGGGAAACCGGGGCUAAUACCGGAUGCUUGUUUGAACCGCAUGGUUCAAACAUAAAAGGUGGCUUCGGCUACCAGUUACAGAUGGACCCGCGGCGCAUUAGCUAGUUGGUGAGGUAAUGGCUCACCAAGGCAACGAUGCGUAGCCGACCUGAGAGGGUGAUCGGCCACACUGGGACUGAGACACGGCCCAGACUCCUACCGGGAGGCAGCAGUAGGGAAUAUUCCGCAAUGGACGAAAGUCUGACGGAGCAACGCCGCGUGAGUGAUGAAGGUUUUCGGAUCGUAAAGCUCUGUUGUUAGGGAAGAACAAGUACCGUUCGAAUAGGGCGGUACCUUGACGGUACCUAACCAGAAAGCCACGGCUAACUACGUGCCAGCAGCCGCGGUAAUACGUAGGUGGCAAGCGUUGUCCGGAAUUAUUGGGCGUAAAGGGCUCGCAGGCGGUUCCUUAAGUCUGAUGUGAAAGCCCCCGGCUCAACCGGGGAGGGUCAUUGGAAACUGGGGAACUUGAGUGCAGAAGAGGAGAGUGGAAUUCCACGAGUAGCGGUGAAAUGCGUAGAGAUGUGGAGGAACACCAGUGGCGAAGGCGACUCUCUGGUCUGUAACUGACGCUGAGGAGCGAAAGCGUGGGGAGCGAACAGGAUUAGAUACCCUGGUAGUCCACGCCGUAAACGAUGAGUGCUAAGUGUUAGGGGGUUUCCGCCCCUUAGUGCUGCAGCUAACGCAUUAAGCACUCCGCCUGGGGAGUACGGUCGCAAGACUGAAACUCAAAGGAAUUGACGGGGGCCCGCACAAGCGGUGGAGCAUGUGGUUUAAUUCGAAGCAACGCGAAGAACCUUACCAGGUCUUGACAUCCUCUGACAAUCCUAGAGAUAGGACGUCCCCUUCGGGGGCAGAGUGACAGGUGGUGCAUGGUUGUCGUCACCUCGUGUCGUGAGAUGUUGGGUUAAGUCCCGCAACGAGCGCAACCCUUGAUGUUAGUUGCCAGCAUUCAGUUGGGCACUCUAAGGUGACUGCCGGUGACAAACCGGAAGGAAGGUGGGGAUGACGUCAAAUCAUCAUGCCCCUUAUGACCUGGGCUACACACCGUGCUACAAUGGACAGAAACAAGGGCAGCGAAACCGCGAGGUUAAGCCAAUCCCACAAAUCUGUUCUCAGUUCGGAUCGCAGUCUGGAACUCGACUGCGUGAAGCUGGAAUCGCUAGUAAUCGCGGAUCAGCAUGCCGCGGUGAAUACGUCCCGGGC